RNAcentral lists this unclassified non-coding RNA (212 nucleotides) under uncultured fungus. RNAcentral's name for it is "sequence contains ITS1". The record is from RNAcentral. Lineage: Eukaryota; Fungi.
UUGUUGCGUUUGUAAAAAACUAUAGUCAGACAAAAGGAAAAGGUUGGAUAAAGUGUCUCUGGCAGGCGCCUUGCGGCCUGACCGACGAACCAGCUCGGAGCCGUCCGCCGGAAACCUGCCAAAGCAACAGGGUAUGUUCACAGGUGUGUAGAAGAGAGAGGGCCGAGGCCCAGACUUCGUUAAUGAUCCUUCCGCAGGUUCACCUACGGAAA